AUGGGACGCUUCAAUACUGACAUGGUGUGAAGAGUCUAUUGAGCUAGUUGGUAGUCCUCCGGCCCCUGAAUGCGGCUAAUCCUAACUGCGGAGCGUGCGCUUGCAACCCAGUGAGUAGCACGUCGUAAUGGGUAACUCUGCAGCGGAACCGACUACUUUGGGUGUCCGUGUUUCCUUUAUUCCUUGUCUGGCUGCUUAUGGUGACAAUUGAGAGAUUGUUGCCAUAUAGCUAUUGGAUUGGCCAUCCGGUA
RNAcentral lists this non-coding RNA (251 nucleotides) under Coxsackievirus B2. Its description in RNAcentral is "Human coxsackievirus B2 Picornavirus internal ribosome entry site (IRES)". It matches the Rfam family "Picornavirus internal ribosome entry site (IRES)". From Rfam's summary of the family: IRES elements allow cap and end-independent translation of mRNA in the host cell. The record is from Rfam by way of RNAcentral. Lineage: Riboviria; Orthornavirae; Pisuviricota; Pisoniviricetes; Picornavirales; Picornaviridae.